UAAGCCUGUGAAGGUGUGUCGUGAGGCAUGCUGGAGGUAUCAGAAGUGCGAAUGCUGACAUAAGUAACGAUAAAGCGGGUGAAAAGCCCGCUCGCCGGAAGACCAAGGGUUCCUGUCCAACGUUAAUCGGGGCAGGGUGAGUCGACCCCUAAGGCGAGGCCGAAAGGCGUAGUCGAUGGGAAACGGGUUAAUAUUCCCGUACUUGGUGUUACUGCGAAGGGGGGACGGAGAAGGCUAUGUUGGCCGGGCGACGGUUGUCCCGGUUUAAGCGUGUAGGUGUGUGUUCCAGGUAAAUCCGGUUCACUUUAACACUGAGGCGUGACGACGAGGCACUACGGUGCUGAAGCAACAAAUGCCCUGCUUCCAGGAAAAGCCUCUAAGCAUCAGGUAACAUCAAAUCGUACCCCAAACCGACACAGGUGGUCAGGUAGAGAAUACCAAGGCGCUUGAGAGAACUCGGGUGAAGGAACUAGGCAAAAUGGUGCCGUAACUUCGGGAGAAGGCACGCUGACACGUAGGUGAAGUGAUUUACUCAUGGAGCUGAAGUCAGUCGAAGAUACCAGCUGGCUGCAACUGUUUAUUAAAAACACAGCACUGUGCAAACACGAAAGUGGACGUAUACGGUGUGACGCCUGCCCGGUGCCGGAAGGUUAAUUGAUGGGGUCAGCGCAAGCGAAGCUCCUGAUCGAAGCCCCGGUAAACGGCGGCCGUAACUAUAACGGUCCUAAGGUAGCGAAAUUCCUUGUCGGGUAAGUUCCGACCUGCACGAAUGGCGUAAUGAUGGCCAGGCUGUCUCCACCCGAGACUCAGUGAAAUUGAACUCGCUGUGAAGAUGCAGUGUACCCGCGGCAAGACGGAAAGACCCCGUGAACCUUUACUAUAGCUUGACACUGAACAUUGAGCCUUGAUGUGUAGGAUAGGUGGGAGGCUUUGAAGUGUGGACGCCAGUCUGCAUGGAGCCGACCUUGAAAUACCACCCUUUAAUGUUUGAUGUUCUAACGUGGACCCGUGAUCCGGGUUGCGGACAGUGUCUGGUGGGUAGUUUGACUGGGGCGGUCUCCUCCUAAAGAGUAACGGAGGAGCACGAAGGUUGGCUAAUCCUGGUCGGACAUCAGGAGGUUAGUGCAAUGGCAUAAGCCAGCUUGACUGCGAGCGUGACGGCGCGAGCAGGUGCGAAAGCAGGUCAUAGUGAUCCGGUGGUUCUGAAUGGAAGGGCCAUCGCUCAACGGAUAAAAGGUACUCCGGGGAUAACAGGCUGAUACCGCCCAAGAGUUCAUAUCGACGGCGGUGUUUGGCACCUCGAUGUCGGCUCAUCACAUCCUGGGGCUGAAGUAGGUCCCAAGGGUAUGGCUGUUCGCCAUUUAAAGUGGUACGCGAGCUGGGUUUAGAACGUCGUGAGACAGUUCGGUCCCUAUCUGCCGUGGGCGCUGGAGAACUGAGGGGGGCUGCUCCUAGUACGAGAGGACCGGAGUGGACGCAUCACUGGUGUUCGGGUUGUCAUGCCAAUGGCACUGCCCGGUAGCUAAAUGCGGAAGAGAUAAGUGCUGAAAGCAUCUAAGCACGAAACUUGCCCCGAGAUGAGUUCUCCCUGAGACUUAAAGUCUC
RNAcentral lists this ribosomal RNA (1605 nucleotides) under Salmonella enterica. RNAcentral describes it as "partial 23S ribosomal RNA". It matches the Rfam family "Bacterial large subunit ribosomal RNA", at positions 1243 to 2827 of the family's 2925-position model. Lineage: Bacteria; Pseudomonadati; Pseudomonadota; Gammaproteobacteria; Enterobacterales; Enterobacteriaceae. The record is from RNAcentral.